RNAcentral lists this transfer RNA (72 nucleotides) under Ignavibacteria bacterium. RNAcentral describes it as "tRNA-Gly". It matches the Rfam family "tRNA". Rfam says of the family: Transfer RNA (tRNA) molecules are approximately 80 nucleotides in length. Lineage: Bacteria; Pseudomonadati; Ignavibacteriota; Ignavibacteria. The record is from RNAcentral.
GCGAGAAUAACUCAGUGGUAGAGUGUCAGCUUCCCAAGCUGAAUGUCGCGGGUUCAAUCCCCGUUUCUCGCU